UACGUAGGGGGCAAGCGUUAUCCGGAAUUAUUGGGCGUAAAGGGUGCGUAGGCGGCAAAGUAAGUCUUUGGUAAAAGUGCUAGGCUCAACCUAGUGAGGCCAAGGAAACUACAAGCUAGAGUACGGAAGAGGUAAGUGGAAUUCCAUGUGUAGCGGUAAAAUGCGUAAAUAUAUGGAGGAACACCAGUGGCGAAGGCGGCUUACUGGACCGAUACUGACGCUGAGGCACGAAAGCGUGGGGAGCAAACAGG
RNAcentral lists this ribosomal RNA (251 nucleotides) under uncultured bacterium. RNAcentral describes it as "partial 16S ribosomal RNA". It matches the Rfam family "Bacterial small subunit ribosomal RNA", at positions 524 to 776 of the family's 1533-position model. The record is from RNAcentral.